GUCAAACUGCGGUAACCAUCGUGCGGUCCCUAUGUGAUCACUUCCUUGCUUCUCCGUCACUUUCAUCCCCUCAUCAUGUGAGGAUGCUUAGUCAGACCAACGGUGGGUUAUGUGGGAAAUGAUUGUAAGUAAUAUUGAGGUUUCUUAAAUUAACAUCUAGGUAAAUGAUAAGCAUUUAAUUUCUUUCAAAAUGUGAAAGUGUUUCAGCAUGAACCCAGGAUGAUCCACAUCUCGGCGUCAUUCUCCAAGUCUGCCAUCUCCACACCUACCACGGCUCCAAUAAUCGUACCGGUUGGACGUCGACUUUUUGUACUAGCACCGAGUACAUUUUAGGAUGAUGUCUAUGUGCUGGGUAGGAGUGGGGCAGGGAUGUACGACGCCCUACCGAGCGGCACCCACUCCGUGCGUCACGGCUCCGACAACCGUACCAGUUCGACAUCCGGACAUGCACCAGCAUCGAGUGCAUUUUUGGAUGAUGUCUGUGUGCUCCGUGGGAGUGGACCAAGGAGGACCAACACCCUGCAGAAGAGGACACAUUCUAUGUCGCCAUCCAUUUAUCUAAGUACGACGGAGUAGUAGAGAUGAGCAUCCCGGGGGGAUAUUUCACUAUGGAGAUAUCCCCAGGCACGGAGCGGAGGCGUGUCAGUCGGACGGCCAGAAGGCGGCAUGGGUUGAGAGCCACUCAGUCGAAACCAACACCUAUAUUGGCCGUUUCUUAAUCCCGAAGACUAGUCUCUGCGAGUAUUUCGUAAACAGCAAUUUUUGGUCACCACAAAGCCUAUAUCACUGUCCUUUACUUAUUGAGUUUAAAGUUCUAAAUAAGAGGAUCACUUUGUAUGUUACUUUGUUCUUUAUAGAUAGGAUAGGAUAUAAAAACCGGAACAAACACAAGAUAUUUAUUUUAUCAGUUAGCAAAUGUGCUUAAACCAUAAUAUUUCUAAAAUUUAAUCCUGAAUCCUGAAAAUCAAGUCAAGUGGAGCAACAACUUGUGAAAUUUUUGAAAGACUUGCUGAAGAAGAACUGAUGAUAAAAAGGAAAAGAUAAGCACAAUGGAGGACGAAAAUACUGUCCGAGAAAAUAAGAGCGGUAAGAAAAGGAUCAAUGACAGCGACACCAAUGGCAAUCAAGACGGUCAUGUAAAUAAAAUUAUUAACGACACGACGAAUGGCGCCAUGGGUAUAACCGCAGAUAAGUCUAAACUGAACGUAUAUUUGUUGAAAAAUACACCUCAGCCAGAAAAGGUGGAACACAUUGUUGCGGCAAGGCCUGUGGUAUGCAUCAUCAACAAUGAUUUAGUACAGAAUAUUCUCAAUUCGGACGAAUUCAAAGCAAUGCACAAACCAGUUCGGCCGGUGCCAAACACUUUGACCGUAGAUUGGAACUUGAUUAGAAUGGCUGUUCGGUCAAAUUAAUGUAAACCUGCGUGUAGGGGAGAGCCUCCAAAAAGGGAUGAUGGGACUCGCCGCCCAUAUAGGAAACCGCGCCAAGUGCAACGUAGACGGCGACACCAUGAGACCCAAAUUGUUUAUAAAUCGCAUAGGCAGAUGGCUUAUAUGCCAGCUUUCCACACGGAUAUAGCUGUUUGGCAGACCGUUAAGAGGAAGAGA
Molecule: long non-coding RNA, 1607 nt
Organism: Hermetia illucens (black soldier fly)
Lineage: Eukaryota; Metazoa; Arthropoda; Insecta; Diptera; Stratiomyidae
Exons: 4
Source: RefSeq, a predicted model, not a curated record